RNAcentral lists this non-coding RNA (101 nucleotides) under Candidatus Brocadia. RNAcentral describes it as "c-di-GMP sequence". It matches the Rfam family "c-di-GMP-I-GGC riboswitch aptamer". The record is from RNAcentral. Lineage: Bacteria; Pseudomonadati; Planctomycetota; Candidatus Brocadiia; Candidatus Brocadiales; Candidatus Brocadiaceae. RNAcentral also lists the same sequence under 1 other name.
CACGAUAAAGGCAAACCCCGAGUGAUCGGGGGACGCAAAGGAAAGGAUCUUUUCCAGCGAAUAGGAAGUUGAGCUAGAAAAAGAUAGCCUUACUGCCGAAA